GUCUACAGACAUACCACCCUGAGUGCACCCAAUCUCGUCUGAUCUUGAAUGUUAAUCAGGGUCGGGCCUGCUUAGUACUUGGUUGGAAGAAAUAAAUAAUGAACACAAAAGAUGAAAAAAUCGUAGCCC
Molecule: ribosomal RNA, 129 nt
Filed under: Prolemur simus (greater bamboo lemur)
Lineage: Eukaryota; Metazoa; Chordata; Mammalia; Primates; Lemuridae
Source: RNAcentral